UACAGGGAGUGGCCACUCUGUAAACUGAAGCAGAGAUUAUAGCAGUUAGAAGUUAAGCCAAAAAAACUAAAGAGAUUCCUUGCAAAGCUGCUUUAGCAAUAGACAAAAAGGAACUAAGGGGUUCUGACAGCAACAGGCAUAUUUAUACCAUCAGGAGGGUCGGCAAGGUUACAACCAAACAUUCUAUGCCUAGUGAUUCUAAAAGGUUCUGUUUGUGUGAUUCCCCAAGACCACAAACCAGAGACUAAUAUGACCAUUGGACUAGAACUCUGGAAACUAGGUUUCAAAUACCAGCUCUGCUAUGGACAAACCCUCUGGGUGACCUUGUUCAAGUUGCACCCUUUCAGCCUCAGUGGGAAGAAAAGGCAUAUCCUCACUGAGUAAAUCUUGCCAAGAAAAAUCCAUGAAAAGCAGGGGAAUGAAGAGGAAAAAACACAUUCUCAAUCUGGCUGUCAGGAUGCAGACAGUGUGAAUUAUGGAACCAAUUUGAGGUAUCGCCUAUAUAAAAUGGUGAACAUCUAAAACAAAUACUGGAGAGAGCCUAAGGAUCUGUGAAAUUGCAGGAGGCUAUGCAGCAGGGUAUGCCUACAAUCAGCAUAUGGCAAAAAUCAAGAUUCUGGAGUGGUGCCUGGCAGCUGUGAUGACCUGGAUGAGGGCCAACAAGGGGAGGCUUAAUCCAGACAAGACAGAGAUCCUCCUGGUCAGUCACGAGUCCAAUCGGGAUAUAGAUGGCAGUCUAUGCUUGAUGGGGCUACACUCCCCCCAAAGACACAGGUUCGCAGUCUGGGGGUUCUCUUAGAUUCAUCACUGACGCUUGAAGCUCAGUAAUCAUCAGUGACUGGGAGCGCCUUCACAUAAUUAAAAUUGGUGCGCCAGCUGUGACAGUGCCUUUAAAAGUCUAACUUGGCCACAGUGGCUCACGACAUCUAGAAUGGACUACUGCAAUGCACUCUACAUGGGGCUGCCUUUGAACACGGCACGGAAACUGCAGUUGGUGCAAAGGUCGGCGACCAGAUUACUAACUGGGGCUAGCUAUAGGGAGCAUAACAUGUACCUAUUAAAGCAGCUCCACUGGUUGCUGAUGAGUUUCCAGGCCCAAUUCAAAGUGCAGGUUAUUAGCUACAAAGCUCUAUACAGUUCGGGUCCAACCUGUCUUUGAGAAUGCAUCUCCUUCUAUGAACCGGCACAGCCUGAGAUCUGCCAGGGAGGCCCUCCUUUCGGUCCCACCACUAUCCCAAGUACGGCUGGUGGGGACGAGAGGGCCUUCUCAGUGGUGGUGUCUCAGCUCUGGCAUACCCUCCCUUGAGAGAUUAAGUUAGCCUCCACUCUUCAAGCUUUUCGGUCUAGACUAAAAACAUGUUUUUUUUAGACAGGCCUUUGACCUUGAGUAGAUUUUAAUGAUUAGACAUGAGGACUUAGUUAUUGCUUCAUUCCAGCACUUGGAUUGCUAAUUUAAGACUGCCAGUUUUAUCCGCAGGCAUCGCUGCAUUUUAUUAAUUUUAAAUUUGUUAUUAUGUGUCAUUUAUGCACGUUUGCUGUUGUAAAUUUAUGUUGUUAUAGUCUAUAUGUUUAUGUAUUGUUUAUUUUAUGUUCAGCCCUUGUAGUGUUUCUGUGAGUUGCCCCGAAUCCCUUCGGGGAGAUGGUGGCGGGGUGUAAAUAAAGAUUAUUAUUAUUAUCAUCAUCA
This is a long non-coding RNA of Anolis carolinensis (green anole), 1684 nucleotides long. RefSeq lists it as uncharacterized. The transcript has 4 exons. Lineage: Eukaryota; Metazoa; Chordata; Lepidosauria; Squamata; Anolidae. The record is from RefSeq and is a predicted model, not a curated record.